UUAAAGGAAUUGACGGAAGGGCACCACAAGGAGUGGAGCCUGCGGCUUAAUUUGACUCAACGCGGGGAAACCUACCAGGCCAGGACACCGGCAGGAUUGACAGAUUGAGAGCUCUUUCUUGAUUCGGUGGAUGGUGGUGCAUGGCCGUUCUUAGUUCGUAGGGUGACUCGUCUGGUUUAUUCCGAUAACGAACGAGAUCCUCACCUGCUAAGUAGUCGAUACCGGCAUCCUUGGUGCAGCCGGCGAUAGUAUAUCUUCUUAGAGGGACACACGGUUUCCAGCCGUACGAAGUUGGGCAAUAACAGGUCAGUGAUGCCCUUAGAUGUUCUGGGCAGCACGCGCGCUACAAUGAAGGUAACAAAGUGUGGAAACCUAGGCCGAGAGGCCCGGGUAACCCGCUGAAGGACCUUCGUGUUUGGGACUGAGGUUUGUAAUUAUCCCUCACUAACGAGGAAUUCCUAGUAAGCGGGAAUCACCAUUUCCUGCUGAUUAUGUCCCUGCCCUUUGUACACACCGCCCGUCGCUACUACCGAUUGAGUGAUUUAGUAAGGCCUUUGGACCGGCGCGCGCGUCUUCGGUUCGCCAGGACGCCGCUGCGCUCGGGAAGAUGGCCGAACUUGAUCACUUAGAGGAAGUAAAAGUCGUAACAAGGUUACC
This 657-nucleotide ribosomal RNA is filed under the name Neometrypus sp. FGu. RNAcentral's name for it is "bacterial SSU rRNA". It matches the Rfam family "Eukaryotic small subunit ribosomal RNA", at positions 1144 to 1804 of the family's 1831-position model. The record is from RNAcentral. Lineage: Eukaryota; Metazoa; Arthropoda; Insecta; Orthoptera; Gryllidae.